CACACAUAUAUAUAUCUGUAUAUAUAUAUAUAUAUGUGUGUGUGUGUGUGUGAGAGUGUGUGUGUAAUGGUUGUCUGCAAGAAACACCUUUAAUUAAUCACAGCCAACCCUCAAAUAAUACGCAUAGUAUAGGACCCUUACAAUGCUACACUCCCAACUCUUCUCCCCACCCACCUUUUGUUUUCUUUCCUUCCACGGAUUCUGUGACAUCUUCCUCUCCUCAUUGACUCUGCAUGAAGGGGAUUCCUGGUGGGGGAAGGGUAGCUGGUGAGAAAUGAGGUAUCAAGAAACUAGCAAAGCAUCUUCUGGCUGUCUGUGGACAGUUCUUGUGUGGUCCCCAGCCUAGUCUCAAGGGUUCUGGGCUGGUCACCCUGCAGCCUCUGUGCUGUGUCACCAGAUUCGGGCUCUGAGGGAAGGGCCCUGGGAGGCCCAACAGAGCGGGGUGCCUUGUCUAACAUCCCCCCGUUCCUCUGGCUGUGUGGCUCAGGAAUAGGCCCAGACAGUGUGUCCAGGUGGUGCCAGGUCACCUCACUGCCCCCUUUGAGAUGGGCCCAGAGGGUUUUGUGGGGUGAGCAUGAAGCUGGGCACCCAAAGCCUGGGGCCGAGUGCCCCUCCCUGUGUCCCAGAGGAGGGGCCCUGACCUGAGAAGAUCCCCAGUGCCUGGCUUAUGGGUGCCAAUGUGGGGAGGGGUGGCUCUGAGGACUGAAGCGGGUCACUGAAAGAAGACAUUGAGCUCCAUGGCUCAGGGACCUUGGCAGUAGAGGCCUGGUAAGCAGAGACUAGGACACUGGGACUUGGUCACAAAAAAUAUGAUCAGAAAGGGCAUGGCCAUCAGAGAGUUGGUCAGGCGGCCUGGUCAUUGAGGGACUGUCAGUGAGGACCUGGUCACUGGGUGCUUGGUCAAUGGGUCUUGGUCAGUGGGGACCUGGUAAGUGGAGAUCUGAUUACUGGGGGCUUGGUCAUCAAGAGCCUGGUCAGUCAGGACCUGGUCAGUGAGGACCUGGUCAGUGAAGGACUUGUGGGGGGGCAUUGGUCAGCAGCGGCCUUGUCGGGGGAGGCUUGGUCAGUGGGGGCCUAGUUAGUGGGGUCCUGGCCAGCCGGCUGCUGGGUGACCUCAUGCAGGGGUUUGUCCUUGGAGCUUGCUUGCCGCCAUCUGUAGUGGGGAUGAGUCACAUCACCCCAGAGGGCUACUGGGAGGAGGAGAUGAGCAGGUGUGUGGAAUCCGGCCCUGCCCAACAGACCUAGCACUUUACACCCUAGCUGAGUCCCCUGCUAAAGAGGGGGCCUGCUCUCUGCCCUCCACCCUCAAUUCUCUGCUCCCCGUCCACAGGACUGCCCCACCUAGGGAGGGCUGAGGUUGGGGAACACCUGUGGACACUCUGAUGCUGGCCACAGGCCCAGGGCCGGGCGUGACAGUGACAAGGACCUGAGUGCGUACAUGAAUGGGGCCACCUGGCCCAGCCACAGAAGCAACACACCAUAUGCACGUGUUCACCCACAUAUAUGUGCACGCUCACAUUUACAAACACACUGCAUGCACACAUGUUGAUGCUUCGGGGGUGGAGGACGGUGACUGUGGGCCCUGCUGACCCAGGCGGGGGCCCAUUGUGAUGGGUGCCGUGAUCCCGUAAUGUCACUGGUGCUGAGUACCCACCCGCCUACCUGGCUGCCUUCUCUGUGUCUGGAGCUCUUAGAGACAAGAUAAACAGCGAUGUCUGGUUCUGCUCAGAGGAGGCUUUCUUAAGUGAGAGGCACAGUUGGAUCAGCAGACUCAGCUGAGUGUGACCUGCUCUGUUCCCUCCCUGCUGACCUGGGACAGUCGCUACCAGGCAGUGCUGGCCUCUGGGCGGGUGCCGAGGAGGGUCAUCCCUGAGCACUCACCAGGUAGGUGCCUGUUCUGCACUGACGGUAUAGAUGUUCGUCUUGUUGGUCGUCACAGUGACGCUGGUGGGGGUGGGUGCUGUCCCCUAAUGUACCCAUUCCACAGGUGAGAUGUCUAGGGUCAGAGAGGCAGCGACUGGUCCAGAGACCCAGAUGUGACCCUGGGCCAUGCUCUUAGCCCUGCCCUGUGCUACGCUGGACUCAAGCCCUGACCUCUGUGGCCUCCCUGCCCUGGAUUCCAAAUCCAUCCGGGGUUCCAGCCCCUGAUGGGGCAGAGUCUGGCCCUGGAAGAGCCACUGGGACAGAGAUCCUAUGGGUGAGGUGGAGGGGGUGGUCCUCAGUCCAAGUCUGUGCCCUAAGCUGGGACCCCGCGGGAGGUCUCACCAACUCAGACUUCACAUGUGGUCACUGAGGGUCAUUGUGGGACCCACUGGACACAGGGGGUCCCUUGUCUGGGAGUGGGGUGAAGAGCCUUCUGCCCUUGGGCAGUUAGGUAGGGGACUUUGAGCACUGCUGCUUUGGGACCUGGGAAGUGGGGACCUGGGCAGCGGGGUCCUCGUCAUUGAGAACAUGGUCAGUGAGAGAUUUGGUCAUCAUGGGUUGGGUCAGGGGGGCCUGGUCAGCAGAGACUUGGACACUGGGGCUUAGUGAAAAUAUGAUCAGUGGGGAAAUAGUCACGGGGCCUGCUCAGUAGGGCCUGGCUAGCAGAGGCCUGGCCAGCUGGCCACUGGAUGACCUGACAGGGGGUUUGUCCUUGGAGCCUCUUUGCCUCUAUUCAUAGUGGGGAUGAGUCAUAGCAUCCCUCAGCACUCGCCAGGUGCAGGUUUUGUGCUGACCUUGUAGAUGGCCUUUUCCUUCAUCCCCACAGCAACUCCAUGGGGCGGAUCCUGUCCCCGAAUGUAGCCAUUCCACAGGAAAACGAAGCCCCCUCCUGUAUUGACAGCUGGGAAUUGUGGAGUCCACCGUCCUCCACCUGAGACGAGCACAGGGUCUCCACGAGGACAGAGGCUGCUUUGGACUCAAUAGAAAACUGGGCAUCUUCAUGGUCCUAGAAGGAUCCCAGGAGGCUGAUCCUAUAGAGACGUCUGGUUCCUGACCCCAACUGCCUCCAGGUGCCUGGAACAGCCCAUCGUGGGCCCUUUACCCUCAGCAGGUGGACGCCGUUGGUCCUGCCAGGGCAAGUGUGUGUCUGUCUUAGGGCAUUUGGGAACAAUGGGCCUCUCUGUCCAGGUCCCCCUGUGUUCAAGUCCUCAGGAAGGAGCCUACUCCUGGUCCAGGGCAGGGACUCUAGAGACUAGGGCAUGGGUGGGAAUACUGGAUUUAACCCUUUGUCUUGGGGAGCAAUCGUGGAAUGGGGCUCACCUGUCUGGCCAGCAUUUGGGGGUCUGGUGGGAGCCGUUCGGGUGUUCUCUGGAGCUCUCGGGUGCUGCAGAGCCUUUGGAUGACUUUGUCUUGCAGGAUGGAGAUGGAUGAGCACCCGGAUAUCCUGCCCACCCAGGGGCAAGGCAACAUCAUCAUUACUAAGUAUGAGCAGGGACGCUGAGCUGGGGCAGCAGUGGACACAGAGCAUGAGCGUGUUGACAUCUGGAAAUUCACCAGUCGUCUCUGGGUUGUGUGUGAGACAGAGCUGCCCGUGUCAGUGCCCUGGAGGUGAAGGGAAGAGCCUGUGCCUGCUGCGUGGGAGACUGGUCCAGGGACAGGGAAUCAGGAGUGGUUGGUGAGACAGAGGGGGUGGCCUGCGGGCCCGGGCGGUGGUAAGUGGGCCAGGGCUGUCCCUGGGAGGGGCGGCCUUUCCUGACGGACUCUGUUCCCAUGAGCAUUUGACCAAAACCCAAAUCAAGAACCACAGUCUUGGCUCAGAGGUCACUGCCUGUUUGUACCAAGUCCCCAGCUAAGGGCCAGGACCUGACCAAAACUCGGGGUGUCUGUGGCCUGAGGAUGGUGUGUCCUGGCAUGACCAGUCCAGACCACCAGCUCCAGUUAGUUCAGAGGGUCUCAGCCCCCGGGCUCUGCUCUUUCCUUGCUCCUUCAGGGCCCCAAAGCCCAGGACCCAGCAUCCAUGGGCCGCUGCCGGAGGCCUGGCAGCUCCGCUAACUCCAUCAUGGCUCAUUUGACAGCAAAGGUGUCAGGAAAUAAAAUGUACUGACAAGUGGCUGAAGAUGCUUGGAGACUGGCCAAAAUAUAAGAACAGCAAGAAGGUGACAUGGCGGUUGGGCCUGGUAGCUCAGGCCUGUAACCCCAGCACUUCGGGAGGCUGAGGUGGGCGGAUCACCUGAGGUCAGGAGU
Molecule: long non-coding RNA, 4167 nt
Filed under: Homo sapiens (human)
Lineage: Eukaryota; Metazoa; Chordata; Mammalia; Primates; Hominidae
Description: HSALNT0388817
Source: RNAcentral